This 73-nucleotide transfer RNA is filed under the name Stegodyphus mimosarum. It matches the Rfam family "tRNA". From Rfam's summary of the family: Transfer RNA (tRNA) molecules are approximately 80 nucleotides in length. Their secondary structure includes four short double-helical elements and three loops (D, anti-codon, and T loops). The record is from Rfam by way of RNAcentral. Lineage: Eukaryota; Metazoa; Arthropoda; Arachnida; Araneae; Eresidae.
GCCUUCGUGGUGUAGUGGUCUGCAUGCUCGACGCGUAUUCCAGAGGUCCAAGGUUCGACUCCUGGCGAAGGCA